UUACCUUUGUAUAUAAUCUAGCUCAUUAGGAAUGUAAAUACAAGUCUCCCAUCUCCAUUAUAUUAUUUAGAUAUAUGUAUAUAUGAUAUACUAUACAGUUACUAUAUGAUUAACAUGGCUUAUAUAAGGUUGAAUUGUAGUUCGGAUCGAAUAUAAAUGAUUAAGUGAUAGAAAUGUACAUAACAUACACUAUACUAUGUGGAAUAUAACUACCUUCAAUU
Molecule: long non-coding RNA, 221 nt
Filed under: Brassica napus (rape)
Lineage: Eukaryota; Viridiplantae; Streptophyta; Magnoliopsida; Brassicales; Brassicaceae
Description: long non-coding RNA (BNAP_LNC003381)
Source: RNAcentral